RNAcentral lists this ribosomal RNA (253 nucleotides) under uncultured bacterium. Its description in RNAcentral is "partial 16S ribosomal RNA". It matches the Rfam family "Bacterial small subunit ribosomal RNA", at positions 524 to 776 of the family's 1533-position model. The record is from RNAcentral.
UACGUAGGUGGCAAGCGUUGUCCGGAAUUAUUGGGCGUAAAGCGCGCGCAGGCGGUCUUUUAAGUCUGAUGUGAAAGCCCCCGGCUCAACCGGGGAGAGUCAGUGGAAACUGGGAGACUUGAGUACAGAAGAGGAGAGUGGAAUUCCACGUGUAGCGGUGAAAUGCGUAGAGAUGUGGAGGAACACCAGUGGCGAAGGCGACUCUCUGGUCUGUAACUGACGCUGAGGCGCGAAAGCGUGGGGAGCAAACAGG